Non-coding RNA from Maylandia zebra (zebra mbuna), 418 nucleotides. Lineage: Eukaryota; Metazoa; Chordata; Actinopteri; Cichliformes; Cichlidae. The record is from RefSeq and is a predicted model, not a curated record.
CCUCCACUAGUUUCACAGAACAAUCAUGGAGACUAGUAAACACCAACAUAGAUAUAGUACAUCAAACUGUUCAUCAAACUCAGAUGUUCAUGUGGUGUCUUAAAGAAAUGCAGCAGCGUUUAAAGAUUUCUCUCUGUUUGUUGUUUGACAGGCUCAAAUGUGCCCAUACCUGUGCAAAGGAACAAGUUGUUCUAGAAAAAACAACCAAGAGAUGGGAGAGAUUGAUGCAGCUUGAAUUUUAUGCUUUUCAAAUUUGCCUGAAAUAGCUUUGUUUAAAAUGAGAAAUGAAAAUGUAUCAUUGUCUAUACUUUUCACCUGUCCGUUGACUUAAUCCCAAUCACGCUUGUGUAAUUGCUAGUCAGCUGUAUGAAAUACUAAAAAAUGAACAAAAAUAAACAUUCAUUUUCAUUUCUAGUAA